AGUUUGAUCAUGGCUCAGAUUGAACGCUGGCGGGAUGCUUACACAUGCAAGUCGAACGGCAGCACGGACUUCGGUCUAAGGGCGAGUGGCGAACGGCAAUGUAUCGGAACGUGCCUAGUAGCGGGGGAUAACUACGCGAAAGCGCAGCCAAUACCGCAUACGCCCUUCGGGAAAGCGGGGGACCUUCGGGCCUCGCAAUUAGAGCGGCCGAUAUCGGAUUAGCCAGCUGGUGGGGUAACGGCCCACCAAGGCGACGAUCCGUAGCUGGUUUGAGAGGAGACCAGCCACACUGGGACUGAGACACGGCCCAGACUCCUACGGAGGCAGCAGUGGGGAAUUUUGGACAAUGGGGAAACCCCUGAUCCAGCCAUCCCGCGUGUGCGAUGAAGGCCUUCGGGUUGUAGCAAAGCACUUUUGGCAGGAAGAAACGGCACGGGAUAAUACCCGUGCAACUGACGGUACCUGCAGAAUAAGCACCGGCUAACGCCAGCAGCCGCGGUAAUACGUAGGGUGUAAGCGUUAAUCGGAAUUACUGGGCGUAAAGCGUGCGCAGGCGGUUCGGAAAGAAAGAUGUGAAAUCCCAAGAGCUUAACUUUGAACCUGUGACGAACUAUACUGAGCGAGUGUGCCGAGGGAGUGUGUGGAAUUCCGCGUGUAGCAGUGAAAUGCGUAGAUAUGCGGAGGAACACCGAUGGCGAAGGUAACCUCUGGGAGUAAUACCGACGCCGCGCAAUGAAAGUGGGGACAAAUAGGAUUAGAUACCCUGGGUAGUCCACGCCCAACGAUGUCAACUUAGCUGCUGGGGCCUUCGGGGCCUUGGGUAGUUGCGCGACAUGAAGUUGACCGCCUGGGGAGUAUUGGUCGUGAUUAAAACUCAAAGGAGAAUGACGGGACCCACAUAAGCUGCGGAUGAUGUGGAUUAAUUCGAUGCAACGCGAAAACCUUACUUACCUUGAUAUGUCUGGAAUCCCGAAGAGAUUUGGGAGUGCUCGCAAGAGAACCGGGAAACGGCUAGGUGCUGCAUGGCUGUCGUCAGCUUCAAGCCACGAGAUGUUGGUUGAGUCCCGCAACGAGCGCAACUCCUUUGGUCACAUACAUGAAAAGCAAUUUGAGUCGAGACUACCGUGACAAACCGAGAAGGUGGAUGACGUCAAGUCCUCGCGCUCUAUGGGUAGGCUUCACAUCGGCCAUAAGAACAGCCAAUAGAGCAGGAUCGCUAACUCCGCGAGGGGGAGCCAAUCCCAGAAACCCGAUCGUAGUCCGGAUCGCAGUUCGCAACUCGACUGCGUGAAGUCGGAAUCGCUAGUAAUCGCGGAUCAGCAUGCUCUGCGGUGAACAUGUCCCCGGUCUUGUACACACCGCCCGUCAGCACCAUGGAGAAGCGGCUGAAGUGAAGUUAGGUCGGUUCGUAUGGAGGAAGGAUUACUGAAGUAUAGGAUUCAUGACCGGGGUGAAGUCGUAACAAGGUAGCCCCAGCAUACCCGAGUGC
This 1489-nucleotide ribosomal RNA is filed under the name uncultured Bordetella sp. Its description in RNAcentral is "partial 16S-23S ribosomal RNA intergenic spacer". It matches the Rfam family "Bacterial small subunit ribosomal RNA". Lineage: Bacteria; Pseudomonadati; Pseudomonadota; Betaproteobacteria; Burkholderiales; Alcaligenaceae. The record is from RNAcentral.